AACGAACGCUGGCGGCAUGCCUAACACAUGCAAGUCGAACGAGACCUUCGGGUCUAGUGGCGCACGGGUGCGUAACGCGUGGGAAUCUACCCUUGGGUUCGGAAUAACUCAGAGAAAUUUGAGCUAAUACCGGAUGAUGUCGCAAGACCAAAGAUUUAUCGCCCAAGGAUGAGCCCGCGUAGGAUUAGCUUGUUGGUGAGGUAAAAGCUCACCAAGGCGACGAUCCUUAGCUGGUCUGAGAGGAUGAUCAGCCACACUGGGACUGAGACACGGCCCAGACUCCUACGGGAGGCAGCAGUGGGGAAUAUUGGACAAUGGGCGAAAGCCUGAUCCAGCAAUGCCGCGUGAGUGAUGAAGGCCUUAGGGUUGUAAAGCUCUUUUACCGGAUGAUAAUGACAGUACCGGGAGAAUAACG
RNAcentral lists this ribosomal RNA (415 nucleotides) under uncultured bacterium. Its description in RNAcentral is "bacterial SSU rRNA". It matches the Rfam family "Bacterial small subunit ribosomal RNA", at positions 29 to 491 of the family's 1533-position model. The record is from RNAcentral.